This is a long non-coding RNA of Poecilia latipinna (sailfin molly), 364 nucleotides long. RefSeq lists it as uncharacterized. The transcript is spliced from 3 exons. The record is from RefSeq and is a predicted model, not a curated record. NCBI's taxonomy places the organism in Eukaryota, Metazoa, Chordata, Actinopteri, Cyprinodontiformes, Poeciliidae.
CUCAGUGUCUAGCUGCUGAUGAAAUCGGGACAAUGCACAGACCGAAGAUGAGAGACUACGUUAAUGAGCAGCCAUACGGGGAAGCAAAUUUAUCAGACAGAAGACGCUAUCAUCUGCUUUUCCUCAUCAUUGGCGCACUAUGUAUCAUACAAGCCGUUCUCAAUUUGUCGCUUCGUCUUACAUUAUACUCAAACAAGUUCGCACCCGCCUCAGCUUGCAACAUAUCCGAGUUUGGUGAUGAAAACCACAAGAUGGAGGAAGAGUGUGGGCGACUGAAGCCUGAUCAGUGCAGAAAGUUCUUGGAAAACAUCUGUGCCUUGAGGAGAGACAAACGCACACUUGAAAAGAGAAACAGUGAACAUAA